This 490-nucleotide ribosomal RNA is filed under the name uncultured bacterium. RNAcentral's name for it is "bacterial SSU rRNA". It matches the Rfam family "Bacterial small subunit ribosomal RNA", at positions 12 to 518 of the family's 1533-position model. The record is from RNAcentral.
UUUGAUUCUGGCUCAAGGACGAACGCUGGCGGCGUGCUUAACACAUGCAAGUCGAGCGGAGAAUAUAGCAAUAUAUUCUUAGCGGCGGACGGGUGAGUAACGCGUGGGUAACCUGCCUUUUACUGGGGGAUAACACUGGGAAACUAGUGCUAAUACCGCAAUAAAAUAGUGAAGUGGCAUCACUUUACUAUCAAAGGAGCAAUCCGGUAAAAGAUGGACCCGCGUCCGAUUAGCUAGUUGGAGGGGUAACGGCCCACCAAGGCGACGAUCGGUAGCCGAACUGAGAGGUUGAUCGGCCACAUUGGGACUGAGACACGGCCCAGACUCCUACGGGAGGCAGCAGUGGGGAAUAUUGCGCCAAUGGGGGAAACCCUGACGCAGCAACGCCGCGUGAAGGAUGAAGGUUUUCGGAUUGUAAACUUCUUUGAUUGGGGACGAUAAUGACGGUACCCAAAAAACAAGCCACGGCUAACUACGUGCCAGCCGCCGC